AUUGAACGCUGGCGGCAUGCCUUACACAUGCAAGUCGAACGGCAGCACGGGAGCAAUCCUGGUGGCGAGUGGCGAACGGGUGAGUAAAGUAUCGGAACGUGCCCAGUCGUGGGGGAUAACGUAGCGAAAGUUACGCUAAUACCGCAUACGAUCUAUGGAUGAAAGCGGGGGAUCGCAAGACCUCGCGCGAUUGGAGCGGCCGAUAUCAGAUUAGGUGGUUGGUGGGGUAAAGGCUCACCAAGCCGACGAUCUGUAGCUGGUCUGAGAGGACGACCAGCCACACUGGGACUGAGACACGUGCCAGACUCCUGCGGGAGGCAGCGGUGGGUAAUUUUGGACAAUGGGCGAAAGCCUGAUCCAGCCAUGCCGCGUGCAGGAUGGAGGCCGUCGGGUUGUAAACUGCUUUUGUACGGAGCGAAAAGGUUUGGGCUAAUAAGCUGAGCUCAUGACGGUACCGGAAGAAUAAGCACGGGCUAACUACGUGCCAGCAGCCGCCGUAA
Molecule: ribosomal RNA, 500 nt
Filed under: uncultured bacterium
Lineage: Bacteria
Description: partial 16S ribosomal RNA
Rfam family: Bacterial small subunit ribosomal RNA
Source: RNAcentral